Long non-coding RNA from Melitaea cinxia (Glanville fritillary), 116 nucleotides. RefSeq lists it as uncharacterized. The transcript has 2 exons. Lineage: Eukaryota; Metazoa; Arthropoda; Insecta; Lepidoptera; Nymphalidae. The record is from RefSeq and is a predicted model, not a curated record.
AUUGAGGAUUGGGUCGGCAACGCGCUUGCGAUGCUUCUGGUGUUGCAGGCGUCUAUAAGCUACGGUAAUCUCUUACCAUCAGGUGAGCCGUAUACUUGUUUGCUGAACUAGUAGUA